RNAcentral lists this microRNA precursor (105 nucleotides) under Canis lupus familiaris (dog). Its description in RNAcentral is "mir-8834 microRNA precursor family". It matches the Rfam family "mir-8834 microRNA precursor family". Lineage: Eukaryota; Metazoa; Chordata; Mammalia; Carnivora; Canidae. The record is from Rfam by way of RNAcentral.
AGGAGGAACAACCCCAGUGGCUGGACCAACUCAGGAGCCCUAGAGUCAACUCCCGCAGUAACUCCGGAGCUCUCCGUCUGCAGGGCCUGGAUGCUCGGGGGCGGG